Molecule: ribosomal RNA, 355 nt
Filed under: uncultured bacterium
Lineage: Bacteria
Description: partial 16S ribosomal RNA
Rfam family: Bacterial small subunit ribosomal RNA
Source: RNAcentral
UAGNNGNUNUNNUUUUCCNNGAAACCGAGGUCAACNUCGGCNUNCGGUGGNUACGGNCAGCUAGAGUNUGGUAGGGAGACUNGAACUCCUGGUGUAGCGGUGAAAUGCGCAGAUAUCAGGAAGAACACCGAUGGCGAAGGCAGGUCUCUGGGCCAUUACUGACACUGAGGAGCGAAAGCAUGGGUAGCGAANCAGGAUUAGAUACCCUGGUAGUCCAUGCCGUAAACGUUGGGCACUAGAUGUGGGGGACAUUCCACGUUUUCCGCGUCGUAGCUAACGCAUUAAGUGCCCCGCCUGGGGAGUACGGCCGCAAGGCUAAAACUCAAAGGAAUUGACGGGGGCCCGCACAAGCGGC